AGACUUCUGCGGUGUUCGAGAAGCACCUUGGUUCUUUUCCUUUACUCUGUUAUUAUAAGGGAAUCAUUCGUUAGGCGUUGGAUGUCAUGCCGUAAAUCGGAAGACAAAAGGCGUCACGAAGGUGCCCACCUGGAUCUUGAAAGGUCAAAGAACCUAUGACCGCGACGCACGGCACACGUGGGAGUCUA
This 188-nucleotide non-coding RNA is filed under the name Opitutales bacterium. RNAcentral's name for it is "6S RNA". It matches the Rfam family "6S / SsrS RNA". Rfam says of the family: E. coli 6S RNA was the first non coding RNA to be sequenced, but its function was unknown until recently. The record is from RNAcentral. Lineage: Bacteria; Pseudomonadati; Verrucomicrobiota; Opitutia; Opitutales.